CGUGUAGGCGGUCGGGUAAGUGGAAUGUGAAAUGCCCCGGCUCACCCGGGGACCGGCAUCCCAAACUGCCUGGCUUGAGUAUGGGAGAGGAUGGAGGAAUUCCUGGUGUAGCGGUGAAAUGCGUAGAUAUCAGGAGGAACACCGGUGGCGAAGGCGUCCAUCUGGCCCAAUACUGACGCUGAGGCGCGAAAGCUAGGGGAGCAAACG
Molecule: ribosomal RNA, 207 nt
Filed under: uncultured bacterium
Lineage: Bacteria
Description: partial 16S ribosomal RNA
Rfam family: Bacterial small subunit ribosomal RNA
Source: RNAcentral